ACUGUCCUAUCUACUAUCUGGCGAAACCACAGCCAAGGGAACGGGCUUGGAAUAAUUAGCGGGGAAAGAAGACCCUUUUGAGCUUGACUCUAAUCUGGCAGUGUAAGGAGACAUAAGAGGUGUAGAAUAAGUGGGAGAUAUUAUUCCUUGUGUUUGAUAUCGCCAAUGAAAUACCACUACUCUUAUUGUUUCCUUACUUACUUGAUUAAAUGGAACGUGUAUCAUUUCCUAGCCAUUAUACGGAUAUAUUUAUUAUAUCUUAUGGUAUUGGGUUUUGAUGCAAACUUCUUGAUUAAAGUAUCACGAGUUUGUUAUAUAAUUGCAAACAAUUUCUUUAAUGAGAGAGUGCAUUUAUGUAUUUUUAAUUUGAAAUAUUUGGUAUAACUCCAAUUACUCAGGUAUGAUCCAAUUCAAGGACAUUGCCAGGUAGGGAGUUUGACUGGGGCGGUACAUCUCUCAAAUAAUAACGGAGGUGUCCCAAGGCCACCUUAGUGCGGACAGAAACCACACAUGGAGCAAAAGGGCAAAUGCUGAUCUGAACUCGGUGUUCAGUACACACAGGGUGAGACAGGUUAGUUUUACCCUACUAAUGACAAAACGUUGUUGCGACAGCAUUCCUGCGUAGUACGAGAGGAACCGCAGGUACGGACCAAUGGCACAUUACUUGUUCGAACGAACAGUGGUAUGACGCUACGUCCGUUGGAUUAUGCCUGAACGCCUCUAAGGUCGUAUCCGUGCUGGACUGCAAUGAUAAAUAAGGGGC
This 763-nucleotide non-coding RNA is filed under the name Drosophila willistoni. Its description in RNAcentral is "Eukaryotic large subunit ribosomal RNA". It matches the Rfam family "Eukaryotic large subunit ribosomal RNA", at positions 2338 to 3172 of the family's 3401-position model. Lineage: Eukaryota; Metazoa; Arthropoda; Insecta; Diptera; Drosophilidae. The record is from Rfam by way of RNAcentral.